Molecule: ribosomal RNA, 403 nt
Filed under: uncultured bacterium
Lineage: Bacteria
Description: bacterial SSU rRNA
Rfam family: Bacterial small subunit ribosomal RNA
Source: RNAcentral
UGGGGAAUAUUGCGCAAUGGGGGCAACCCUGACGCAGCAACGCCGCGUGAUUGAAGAAGGCCUUCGGGUUGUAAAGAUCUUUAAUCAGGGACGAAAAUUGACGGUACCUGAAGAAUAAGCUCCGGCUAACUACGUGCCAGCAGCCGCGGUAAUACGUAGGGAGCAAGCGUUAUCCGGAUUUACUGGGUGUAAAGGGCGCGCAGGCGGGCCGGCAAGUUGGGAGUGAAAUCCGGGGGCUUAACCCCCGAACUGCUUUCAAAACUGCUGGUCUUGAGUGAUGGAGAGGCAGGCGGAAUUCCGUGUGUAGCGGUGAAAUGCGUAGAUAUACGGAGGAACACCAGUGGCGAAGGCGGCCUGCUGGACAUUAACUGACGCUGAGGCGCGAAAGCGUGGGGAGCAAACA